Molecule: long non-coding RNA, 844 nt
Organism: Saccostrea echinata
Lineage: Eukaryota; Metazoa; Mollusca; Bivalvia; Ostreida; Ostreidae
Exons: 2
Source: RefSeq, a predicted model, not a curated record
UUUUCUAGUACACUAUAAACGAAGAAAAGGAGGUACCUGUGAUAUUUUUACGACAUGAAAAGUAAACAGUUCAAUCCUAUUGCUCAUAGUAUGAAUGGAAAUUAUGCACACAAAAUGGCGACCACCUCCAAAACUGAACAAAACUGUGGUAAGUGUCUCUUGUUUAUAAGAUGAACAUUAGCAACUUUACCUGAUACUUAAGGUUGAGUGGCCAUCUAAAAGAAAACAGAAUAAAGAAAUAGAACAUGCGCCAGGGGGAAAUAUUCCUGUUAGCUUUUGGAAUAUUACUUAUAUUAUUAGCAUCAAUAUACUUUUUGAGGUGCAAUAAACAGAAACUCAAGGAUUGUUGUACAAUAUAUUGCGAGUGCUUCCUAUCACUUGGAGAUUGUGCAUGGUGCAGGCAAAGACUCUCAUCUGUGUUAAGAAGAUCCAAUGGUGAAAUAAGUACAAAUAGACGAGACGUCAGCACAAUUGGGGAUGAAAAUCCGGGAAUUUAUAAUGUUAGCUAUGAUCCCCCGUCCUAUGACUCUGUGAUAUCAGACAAUAGAGACCCUGAUUUGCCGACUUAUGAAGAAGCAAUAUCUCAUGUUAAUGAAAUGGAACGGAGUGCAAACAAAGCAUGAUUUCAGUGUGUGUGUGUGUGUGUGUGUGUGUGUGUGUGUGUGUCAAAGAAGCAUGAAACCAACUGCAAUAAAUGAAGGGUCAUUCGAGGCCUCAAUAUAGUAAUACUGCAAAUGGAAACGUCAUGCUUUUAGAACACUGUUAAUCAUGUUGAGAUUUUCUCUGCUGUCAAAGUAGGUUAUCAAAUUCAUUGUAUGGCAAAUAGAUUUUUUAUUGCUUUAAA